GGAAAUUGGCAACGUUUCGGGCCGAAACCCAGAAGGGUUUCGACCCGAAACGUUGUCUAUUUCCUUAGCUCCAUAGAUGCUGCUGCACCCGCUGAGUUACUCCAGCACUCUGUGAAAUGUCACCUAUCCAUGUUCCCCACAGAUGCUGCCUGACCCGCUGAGUUACUCCAGCACUCCGUGGCCUUUCAAGCAUCUGUGGAGGAAAUGGACAGGUGGCGUUUUGGGUUGAGACCCUUCUUAAGGGAGAUGUGUUGACAGGUUAGAAGUUAUAACUUAGCAACAAUUGCUGAUGGAGAAAUAUUAGCCAGCAAAGGUUAAAAACACUCCUCUCGUCUAAAAAAAGUGCUUUCUUAUUUAAGUCUUGGACAGCACAAAAACAGACCUUCAACCCACCUUGUCUAUGACAAUCUAGUUGGAAUACUAGGCAUCUCAUUUACCUGCAUUUGCCCCAUACCCCUCGAUCCUUCCUAUCCAUAUGUGUCCAAAUAAGUUCAUAAGUGAUAGAAGCAGAAUUAGGCCAUUCGGCCUAUCAAGUCUACCCCGCCAUUCAAUCAUGGGUGAUCUAUCUCUCCCUCUCAACCCCAUUCUCCUGCCUUCUCCCCAUAACCGCUGACACCCGCACUAAUCAAGAAUCUAUUUAUCUCUGCCUUGAAAAUAACCAACUGAUGUGAAAGCAGUAUCAGAACUGAUGCAGCGUUCCUUCAAGACUGCGUGCGGUUUGUGAGUCAACGGUUAUCCGUGUGAAGAUGAAUCUUUUCACACAUGGACAGGAAGUGUUGAGAGGGUCAAACCACAUGCAUUUCAAGCACAAUAUUGUGGCACCACAGAGCUGUCUCACAUGCCUGCCCUGUGACUACAGGAGCAAAGAUCAAAUCUGCUCCACAUGUUAAACCAGUGUCUGCUGGCAAUUUCCUCUUGGGCCCUAUCUAAAGCCAGAUACGGACUUCCUCACAGCUCACUCCACACAGGGAUUACCCACCCAGUGAGACAGACACAGAAAGCUGGAGUAACUCAGCGGCAGUAACUCAGGCAGUAUCUCUGGAGAGAAGGAAUGGGUGACGUUUCGGGUCGAGUUCCGAAGAAGCAUUUCCACUAGAAAGGGCAGUGCAGCUGCAGUGUUGAAUAGUACCAACAUCCUCUUUGAAGGUUUAGUACUUCACACGGAAACCAAGGCGCUGAGAUUGUUCUCCCGUUCCGACGUCAGAGUUCCAUCAUCCCGGCGAGAGGGCCUGAACAUCGGGCUGCCCGUAGCGGUGAAAGAGGGGGGAGGCCCCGACCACGGGUGAACAACAGAAUAACAGAGGAGGAUGACUGAACUUUGGUGCCUUCCUUCACAGUGGGAAACUUUGAUUCCGCUGUGUGGGGAUGUUUGGGUUAAAGACUAUCGUGUUCUGUGUUCUUUUUUUUAAAUUCGUAUGGCUGUAUAGGUGACCACAUAUUUCACUGCACCAAUUGGUGUAUGUGAUAAUAAAUGUCUCUUGUCUUGUCUCUUGACUCUGGACACUUGCCCAUUUACACUUGACUCUGGACACUUGACCAUUUACACUUGACUCUGGACACUUGACCCUUGACACUUGACCAUUUACA
Molecule: long non-coding RNA, 1587 nt
Organism: Leucoraja erinaceus (little skate)
Lineage: Eukaryota; Metazoa; Chordata; Chondrichthyes; Rajiformes; Rajidae
Exons: 3
Source: RefSeq, a predicted model, not a curated record